GUGUGCAACCUGCCUUUAUCUGGGGGAUAGCCUUUCGAAAGGAAGAUUAAUACCCCAUAAUAUACUGAAUGGCAUCAUUCGGUAUUGAAAACUCCGGUGGAUAGAGAUGGGCACGCGCAAGAUUAGAUAGUUGGUGAGGUAACGGCUCACCAAGUCUGCGAUCUUUAGGGGGCCUGAGAGGGUGAUCCCCCACACUGGUACUGAGACACGGACCAGACUCCUACGGGAGGCAGCAGUGAGGAAUAUUGGACAAUGGGUGAGAGCCUGAUCCAGCCAUCCCGCGUGAAGGACGACGGCCCUAUGGGUUGUAAACUUCUUUUGUAUAGGGAUAAACCUUUCCACGUGUGGGAAGCUGAAGGUACUAUACGAAUAAGCACCGGCUAACUCCGUGCCAGCAGCCGCGGUAAUACGGAGGGUGCAAGCGUUAUCCGGAUUUAUUGGGUUUAAAGGGUCCGUAGGCGGAUCUGUAAGUCAGUGGUGAAAUCUCACAGCUUAACUGUGAAACUGCCAUUGAUACUGCAGGUCUUGAGUGUUAUUGAAGUAGCUGGAAUAAGUAGUGUAGCGGUGAAAUGCAUAGAUAUUACUUAGAACACCAAUUGCGAAGGCAGGUUACUAAGCAACAACUGACGCUGAUGGACGAAAGCGUGGGGAGCGAACAGGAUUAGAUACCCUGGUAGUCCACGCCGUAAACGAUGCUAACUCGUUUUUGGGCUUUCGGGUUCAGAGACUAAGCGAAAGUGAUAAGUUAGCCACCUGGGGAGUACGAACGCAAGUUUGAAACUCAAAGGAAUUGACGGGGGCCCGCACAAGCGGUGGAUUAUGUGGUUUAAUUCGAUGAUACGCGAGGAACCUUACCAAGGCUUAAAUGGGAAAUGACAGGUUUAGAAAUAGACUUUUCUUCGGACAUUUUUCAAGGUGCUGCAUGGUUGUCGUCAGCUCGUGCCGUGAGGUGUUAGGUUAAGUCCUGCAACGAGCGCAACCCCUGUCACUAGUUGCCAUCAUUAAGUUGGGGACUCUAGUGAGACUGCCUACGCAAGUAGAGAGGAAGGUGGGGAUGACGUCAAAUCAUCACGGCCCUUACGCCUUGGGCCACACACGUAAUACAAUGGCCGGUACAGAGGGCAGCUACACAGCGAUGUGAUGCAAAUCUCGAAAGCCGGUCUCAGUUCGGAUUGGAGUCUGCAACUCGACUCUAUGAAGCUGGAAUCGCUAGUAAUCGCGCAUCAGCCAUGGCGCGGUGAAUACGUU
RNAcentral lists this ribosomal RNA (1248 nucleotides) under Chryseobacterium indologenes. Its description in RNAcentral is "bacterial SSU rRNA". It matches the Rfam family "Bacterial small subunit ribosomal RNA", at positions 117 to 1372 of the family's 1533-position model. Lineage: Bacteria; Pseudomonadati; Bacteroidota; Flavobacteriia; Flavobacteriales; Weeksellaceae. The record is from RNAcentral.